RNAcentral lists this ribosomal RNA (1179 nucleotides) under Stenotrophomonas maltophilia. RNAcentral describes it as "bacterial SSU rRNA". It matches the Rfam family "Bacterial small subunit ribosomal RNA", at positions 34 to 1214 of the family's 1533-position model. Lineage: Bacteria; Pseudomonadati; Pseudomonadota; Gammaproteobacteria; Lysobacterales; Lysobacteraceae. The record is from RNAcentral.
CGUUCGUGACGUAUACUACACAUGCAGUCGACGGCAGCACAGGAGAGCUUGCUCUCUGGGUGGCGAGUGGCGGACGGGUGAGGAAUACAUCGGAAUCUACUCUGUCGUGGGGGAUAACGUAGGGAAACUUACGCUAAUACCGCAUACGACCUACGGGUGAAAGCAGGGGAUCUUCGGACCUUGCGCGAUUGAAUGAGCCGAUGUCGGAUUAGCUAGUUGGCGGGGUAAAGGCCCACCAAGGCGACGAUCCGUAGCUGGUCUGAGAGGAUGAUCAGCCACACUGGAACUGAGACACGGUCCAGACUCCUACGGGAGGCAGCAGUGGGGAAUAUUGGACAAUGGGCGCAAGCCUGAUCCAGCCAUACCGCGUGGGUGAAGAAGGCCUUCGGGUUGUAAAGCCCUUUUGUUGGGAAAGAAAUCCAGCUGGCUAAUACCCGGUUGGGAUGACGGUACCCAAAGAAUAAGCACCGGCUAACUUCGUGCCAGCAGCCGCGGUAAUACGAAGGGUGCAAGCGUUACUCGGAAUUACUGGGCGUAAAGCGUGCGUAGGUGGUCGUUUAAGUCCGUUGUGAAAGCCCUGGGCUCAACCUGGGAACUGCAGUGGAUACUGGGCGACUAGAGUGUGGUAGAGGGUAGCGGAAUUCCUGGUGUAGCAGUGAAAUGCGUAGAGAUCAGGAGGAACAUCCAUGGCGAAGGCAGCUACCUGGACCAACACUGACACUGAGGCACGAAAGCGUGGGGGAGCAAACAGGAUUAGAUACCCUGGUAGUCCACGCCCUAAACGAUGCGAACUGGAUGUUGGGUGCAAUUUGGCACGCAGUAUCGAAGCUAACGCGUUAAGUUCGCCGCCUGGGGAGUACGGUCGCAAGACUGAAACUCAAAGGAAUUGACGGGGGCCCGCACAAGCGGUGGAGUAUGUGGUUUAAUUCGAUGCAACGCGUAGAACCUUACCUGGUCCUUGACAUGUCAGAACUUUCCAGAGAUGGAUUGGAUGCUUUCGGAACUCGACACAGGUGCUGCAUGAGCUGUCGUCAGCUCGUGUCGUGAGAUGUGGGUUAAGUCCCGCAACAUUGCUACCUGUUCGUAAGUGGCCGAGUCCAGUAUGGCUGGCACGUCUAUAAUACGCAGUGACAUCCGAGAGUGGAUGACUGCAGUCAUCAUGGCCGUACCGAUCGAUGC